GAGGUGCUGGGCGGACUUCAUAACCACACC
This 30-nucleotide non-coding RNA is filed under the name Homo sapiens (human). The record is from RNAcentral. Lineage: Eukaryota; Metazoa; Chordata; Mammalia; Primates; Hominidae.